Molecule: small nucleolar RNA, 135 nt
Organism: Eleginops maclovinus (Patagonian blennie)
Lineage: Eukaryota; Metazoa; Chordata; Actinopteri; Perciformes; Eleginopidae
Product: small nucleolar RNA SNORA13
Exons: 1
Source: RefSeq, a predicted model, not a curated record
UGCCUUUAUGUGUUGCCCGCUCAGUGUUUCCGUCAUGAAGCGGGUGUCAGCAAAGGCAUACAGAAACUCUUGUGGUGGUCUUUGUGGGGGGGGUCCCUGGUGAUUCUCCUGACAGGACUCACAGCAAGCACACUG